GGGUUGUGAGGUUAAGCGACUAAGCGUACACGGUGGAUGCCCUGGCAGUCAGAGGCGAUGAAGGACGUGCUAAUCUGCGAAAAGCGCCGGCGAGGUGAUAUGAACCUUUGACCCGGCGAUGUCCGAAUGGGGAAACCCAGUGUGUUCCGACACACUAUCGUUAACUGAAUACAUAGGUUAACGAGGCGAACCGGGGGAACUGAAACAUCUAAGUACCCCGAGGAAAAGAAAUCAACCGAGAUUCCCCCAGUAGCGGCGAGCGAACGGGGAGCAGCCCAGAGUCUGAAUCAGCUUGUGUGUUAGUGGAAGCGUCUGGAAAGUCGCACGGUACAGGGUGACAGUCCCGUACACGAAAGCACACAGGCUGUGAACUCGAAGAGUAGGGCGGGACACGUGGUAUCCUGUCUGAAUAUGGGGGGACCAUCCUCCAAGGCUAAAUACUCCUGACUGACCGAUAGUGAACCAGUACCGUGAGGGAAAGGCGAAAAGAACCCCGGCGAGGGGAGUGAAAAAGAACCUGAAACCGUGUACGUACAAGCAGUGGGAGCCUCUUUUAUGGGGUGACUGCGUACCUUUUGUAUAAUGGGUCAGCGACUUAUAUUCUGUAGCAAGGUUAACCGUAUAGGGGAGCCGAAGGGAAACCGAGUCUUAACUGGGCGUUAAGUUGCAGGGUAUAGACCCGAAACCCGGUGAUCUAGCCAUGGGCAGGUUGAAGGUUGGGUAACACUAACUGGAGGACCGAACCGACUAAUGUUGAAAAAUUAGCGGAUGACUUGUGGCUGGGGGUGAAAGGCCAAUCAAACCGGGAGAUAGCUGGUUCUCCCCGAAAGCUAUUUAGGUAGCGCCUCGUGAACUCAUCUUCGGGGGUAGAGCACUGUUUCGGCUAGGGGGCCAUCCCGGCUUACCAACCCGAUGCAAACUACGAAUACCGAAGAAUGUUAUCACGGGAGACACACGGCGGGUGCUAACGUCCGUCGUGAAGAGGGAAACAACCCAGACCGCCAGCUAAGGUCCCAAAGUCAUGGUUAAGUGGGAAACGAUGUGGGAAGGCACAGACAGCCAGGAUGUUGGCUUAGAAGCAGCCAUCAUUUAAAGAAAGCGUAAUAGCUCACUGGUCGAGUCGGCCUGCGCGGAAGAUGUAACGGGGCUAAACCAUGCACCGAAGCUGCGGCAGCGACGCUUAUGCGUUGUUGGGUAGGGGAGCGUUCUGUAAGCCGUUGAAGGUGUCCUGUGAGGGGUGCUGGAGGUAUCAGAAGUGCGAAUGCUGACAUAAGUAACGAUAAAGCGGGUGAAAAGCCCGCUCGCCGGAAGACCAAGGGUUCCUGUCCAACGUUAAUCGGGGCAGGGUGAGUCGACCCCUAAGGCGAGGCCGAAAGGCGUAGUCGAUGGGAAACAGGUUAAUAUUCCUGUACUUGGUGUUACUGCGAAGGGGGGACGGAGAAGGCUAUGUUAGCCGGGCGACGGUUGUCCCGGUUUAAGCAUGUAGGCGGAGGUUCCAGGUAAAUCCGGUUCCUUGUUAACGCUGAGGUGUGAUGACGAGGCACUACGGUGCUGAAGUAACAAAUGCCCUGCUUCCAGGAAAAGCCUCUAAGCAUCAGGUAACAUCAAAUCGUACCCCAAACCGACACAGGUGGUCAGGUAGAGAAUACCAAGGCGCUUGAGAGAACUCGGGUGAAGGAACUAGGCAAAAUGGUGCCGUAACUUCGGGAGAAGGCACGCUGAUAUGUAGGUGAAGCCCCUGCGGGUGGAGCUGAAAUCAGUCGAAGAUACCAGCUGGCUGCAACUGUUUAUUAAAAACACAGCACUGUGCAAACACGAAAGUGGACGUAUACGGUGUGACGCCUGCCCGGUGCCGGAAGGUUAAUUGAUGGGGUUAGCGGUAACGCGAAGCUCUUGAUCGAAGCCCCGGUAAACGGCGGCCGUAACUAUAACGGUCCUAAGGUAGCGAAAUUCCUUGUCGGGUAAGUUCCGACCUGCACGAAUGGCGUAAUGAUGGCCAGGCUGUCUCCACCCGAGACUCAGUGAAAUUGAACUCGCUGUGAAGAUGCAGUGUACCCGCGGCAAGACGGAAAGACCCCGUGAACCUUUACUAUAGCUUGACACUGAACACUGGUCCUUGAUGUGUAGGAUAGGUGGGAGGCUUUGAAGCGUGGACGCCAGUCUGCGUGGAGCCAACCUUGAAAUACCACCCUUUAAUGGCUGGUGUUCUAACGUAGACCCGUAAUCCGGGUUGCGGACAGUGUCUGGUGGGUAGUUUGACUGGGGCGGUCUCCUCCCAAAGAGUAACGGAGGAGCACGAAGGUUAGCUAAUCCUGGUCGGACAUCAGGAGGUUAGUGCAAUGGCAUAAGCUAGCUUGACUGCGAGAGUGACGGCUCGAGCAGGUGCGAAAGCAGGUCAUAGUGAUCCGGUGGUUCUGAAUGGAAGGGCCAUCGCUCAACGGAUAAAAGGUACUCCGGGGAUAACAGGCUGAUACCGCCCAAGAGUUCAUAUCGACGGCGGUGUUUGGCACCUCGAUGUCGGCUCAUCACAUCCUGGGGCUGAAGUAGGUCCCAAGGGUAUGGCUGUUCGCCAUUUAAAGUGGUACGCGAGCUGGGUUUAGAACGUCGUGAGACAGUUCGGUCCCUAUCUGCCGUGGGCGCUGGAGAAUUGAGGGGGGCUGCUCCUAGUACGAGAGGACCGGAGUGGACGCAUCACUGGUGUUCGGGUUGUCAUGCCAAUGGCACUGCCCGGUAGCUAAAUGCGGAAGAGAUAAGUGCUGAAAGCAUCUAAGCACGAAACUUGCCCCGAGAUGAGUUCUCCCUGAGACUUUAAGUCUCCUGAAGGAACGUUGAAGACUACGACGUUGAUAGGUCGGGUGUGUAAGCGCAGCGAUGCGUUGAGCUAACCGAUACUAAUGAACCGUGAGGCUUAACCUUACAACGCCGAAGGUGUUU
This 2934-nucleotide ribosomal RNA is filed under the name Enterobacter sp. RHBSTW-00131. RNAcentral's name for it is "23S ribosomal RNA". It matches the Rfam family "Bacterial large subunit ribosomal RNA". Lineage: Bacteria; Pseudomonadati; Pseudomonadota; Gammaproteobacteria; Enterobacterales; Enterobacteriaceae. The record is from RNAcentral.